GCCCUCGCUGUGUAAUAGUAGCACACACGGGUCGUAUUCAAAAGGUCCAGGUUCGAAUCCUGGCGAGGGCA
Molecule: transfer RNA, 71 nt
Filed under: Stegodyphus mimosarum
Lineage: Eukaryota; Metazoa; Arthropoda; Arachnida; Araneae; Eresidae
Rfam family: tRNA
About the family: Transfer RNA (tRNA) molecules are approximately 80 nucleotides in length. Their secondary structure includes four short double-helical elements and three loops (D, anti-codon, and T loops).
Source: Rfam by way of RNAcentral